RNAcentral lists this ribosomal RNA (459 nucleotides) under uncultured bacterium. RNAcentral's name for it is "partial 16S ribosomal RNA". It matches the Rfam family "Bacterial small subunit ribosomal RNA", at positions 338 to 795 of the family's 1533-position model. The record is from RNAcentral.
CCUACGUGUAGCAGCCGUGAGGAAUAUUGGUCAAUGGGCGGGAGCCUGAACCAGCCAAGCCGCGUUAGGGAAGAAGGUACAGCGUAUCGUAAACCUCUUUUGUCAGGGAACAAAGGCGGGGACUAGUCCCCUGAUGAGGGUACCUGCAGAAAAAGCAUCGGCUAACUCCGUGCCAGCCGCCGCGGUAAUACGGGGGAUGCGAGCGUUAUCCGGAUUUAUUGGGUUUAAAGGGUGCGCAGGCGGCCUGUUUAGUCCGCGGUAAACGCCCGGGGCUAAACCCCGGCGAGCCGUUGAAACUGGCGGGUUGGAGUUGGAGAGAAGUACGCGGAAUGCGCGGUGUAGCGGUGAAAGGCUUAGAUAUCGCGCAGAACCCCGAUUGCGAAGGCAGCGUACCGGCUCCACACUGACGCUGAGGCACGAAAGCGUGGGUAUCGAACAGGAUUAGAUACCCUAGUAGUC